RNAcentral lists this long non-coding RNA (563 nucleotides) under Salmo salar (Atlantic salmon). Its description in RNAcentral is "lncRNA (ENSSSAG00000113430.1, ENSSSAG00020081614.1, ENSSSAG00075055133.1)". Lineage: Eukaryota; Metazoa; Chordata; Actinopteri; Salmoniformes; Salmonidae. The record is from RNAcentral.
CACAGGACAGCUGCAGCACCCUCUUCCUAUAGCCUAGGGAUAUCAAUGUCAGAUCAGAAGACUGGAGGCUUGGCUUAGUAGGGGUGACGCUUCAAGGAGUUAUUGUUGGCCUCCCAUGAGAGGGCUCCCGAGUGGCGCAGCGGUAUAAGGCACUGUAUCUCAGUACAAGAAGCGUCACUAAAGUCCCUUGUUCGAAACCAGCCUGUAUCACAUCCGGCCAUCAUUGUGAGUCCCAUAGGGUGGCGCACAAUUGGCCCAGCGUCGUCCUGGUUGAGAACAGCAUCCUAAAGGAAUGGCCAUGGACAGCCUGGGUGGACUGAGAAGACAGACAUCCAUGUCCUGCCAAUGUCUCUUCUCCGGGUCAAACUUCUAGCCAAGCGCAAGCCUUCGAUUUCAUUAAGCUCCCCUGUUCAAUUCUCUGUUACCAUGGUGAUUGUACCAAACAAAUAGUCCCACCUCGUCUCAGCACCACUUUGGUCAGCCUUGUGUUCCAGUGUUUGUGAAUGGCUGGCUAAACGGCUCAUUAAUCCCCCAGUGGCUGUGACCGCUGUCAGUCGCCUGGG